AACGAACGCUGGCGGCAGGCUUAACACAUGCAAGUCGAACGCCCUGCCAGGGGAGUGGCCGACGGGUGAGUAACGCGUGGGAACAUACCCUUUCCUGCGGAAUAGCUCCGGGAAACUGGAAUUAAUACCGCAUACGCCCUACGGGGGAAAGAUUUAUCGGGGAAGGAUUGGCCCGCGUUGGAUUAGCUAGUUGGUGGGGUAAAGGCCUACCAAGGCGACGAUCCAUAGCUGGUCUGAGAGGAUGAUCAGCCACAUUGGGACUGAGACACGGCCCAAACUCCUACGGGAGGCAGCAGUGGGGAAUAUUGGACAAUGGGCGCAAGCCUGAUCCAGCCAUGCCGCGUGAGUGAUGAAGGCCUUAGGGUUGUAAAGCUCUUUCACCGAUGAAGAUAAUGACGGUAGUCGGAGAAGAAGCCCCGGCUAACUUCGUG
Molecule: ribosomal RNA, 431 nt
Filed under: uncultured bacterium
Lineage: Bacteria
Description: partial 16S ribosomal RNA
Rfam family: Bacterial small subunit ribosomal RNA
Source: RNAcentral